Molecule: non-coding RNA, 479 nt
Organism: Peromyscus maniculatus bairdii (prairie deer mouse)
Lineage: Eukaryota; Metazoa; Chordata; Mammalia; Rodentia; Cricetidae
Source: RefSeq, a predicted model, not a curated record
AACUCCAUCUGCUCCUCCUCCACACGCGACAAUGUGAGAGUAGGGGGACCCUUAUCUCAGAUCAGGAGAUAUACUAGUCUCUGAGUAUGUCGAGCCACAGGGGGCGCGGGGGAGCCUGAGGGGCUCUGAAGGCUUGGCAAAGUUGGGCUUGUGCGUGUGCGCGCCAGCCAUGAGCUAGCUGGCAGCCACUGUGGUUCCCCUCACACUUCCCCGGGGGAGAUUUCCCCGAGAAGGCGGGCGCCGGCUUCGGCCUGGGAUAGACCUGCGGCGGCAGGAACGGCCACGCACAGCUGCGUUCUUAACUGUGCUGUACAACUUGUUCUACUCCACUGAGAGUUCACUGACAUAGAUGGAAGAUUACUGAAUAUUCACUAGUGAGAAAUGAACCAUACAGUGUCUUCUCUGAAGACUCAAAACCUGGUUGCUGACAUUCUAGAGCUGACUACAAAGUGGAGGAUGGGAGGUCUCAACACUCAGUA